Molecule: ribosomal RNA, 2268 nt
Filed under: Triticum aestivum (bread wheat)
Lineage: Eukaryota; Viridiplantae; Streptophyta; Magnoliopsida; Poales; Poaceae
Description: partial small subunit ribosomal RNA
Source: RNAcentral
AUGGCAUGGAUCUUCUUGGUGCUAUUGCCACUAGCUGCAUCGGCAGCCACCGCAUCUUGCUCCUUGGUGAAGCCUGGCUGCCAGGCGCGAUGCGGUGACGUUGACAUCCUCUACCCAUUCGGCAUCGGUGCCGGCUGCUUCCGCCGGGGCUUCCAGAUUGCAUGCAACAACAUGACCGGCGGCGGCGAGAAGCCGUUCCUGACGGACGCCAAGAUGCGCUCCGAGCCCAUACUCGUGCGGAACCUGACGGUAACCCCACGCGCGCAGGUCCGAGUGAUGGUGCCAGUGGCUUACCAGUGCUUCGACGCCACCGGUAACAAGACCUCCAGCUUCGACGGCCAGCUGAGAGUCAACCCGGUGGGCGUGUAUCGCAUCUCCGACACCGCCAAUGAGCUCUUCGUCCUGGGCUGCGACGCGUUCGUCUACGCCGGCAGAGGAAGUCGACGACGCCAAAAUCCAGAAUCAUACUCGUAUUUCAGCGGCUGUGUGGCCUACUGCAACAGUACCAAGAGCGCGCGCGACCGAAAGUGCAACGGCGUCGGCUGCUGCCGCGUCGGUAUCCCGCAAGCCCUCCUCGACACCAGGAUGACGUUCGGCGAUUGGCCGCAUGCAGGCAUGGACUUGAGCCCCUGCAACCACGCCUUCAUUGUGGAGAGGAAUCACUAUGUCUUCCAGGCCGCCGACUUGAAGAGGACGCCGGACCCGGCCAAGCCAUGGAGAAUGCCGCUUCGGCUCGACUGGGCCAUCCGCAACGGCAGUAACUCCUUGUCAUGCCCCCUGGCGAGAGAAUCACCGGGAUACGCUUGCCUGAGCAAGCACAGCGAGUGCGCGAAUUCCACCAAUGGGAUGGGGUAUUUUUGCAAAUGCAAGGAAGGCUACGAGGGCAACCCAUACCUUGAUAACGGAUGCACAGAUAUCGACGAGUGCAAACAGCCACAAUCACAUUCAUGCUUCGGCAAGUGUACCAACAUGGAUGGAUCUUUCGACUGCAGGUGCCCACGAGGAUUUCAAGGCAACGCCACGAAACCAUUAGGCUGUGUCAAGUCCAUACACACAGGUUUAAUCAUUGGUCUAUCAGUUUCAAGUGGCCCAACUAUUCUACUUCUGUUUAUCGGCUCAAAGAUAAUAAUUCGCAAGCUUAAACAUCAAAAGGAACAAAAGUUGCGACAGAGGUUCUUCAAUGAAAAUCGUGGACAACUGUUGCAGCAAUUGGUAUCUCAUAGGUCAGACAUUGCAGAGAGGAUGCUCAUCCCAUUAAAGGAGCUGAAAAAGGCCACAAACAACUUUCAUCCAACUCGUAAGCUUGGUGGUGGCGGGCAUGGUACCGUAUACAAAGGAAUUUUAUCAGACUUGCAUGUUGUGGCCAUCAAAAAGUCAAAUAUUGUGGUCAAGAGUGAGAUUAACGAGUUUAUAAAUGAAGUUGCCAUACUCUCACAAAUCAAUCAUCGAAACAUCGUAAAACUUUUUGGAUGUUGUCUUGAGACAGAAGUCCCUUUAUUGGCUUAUGAGUUCAUUUCCAAUGGAACCCUAUGUGAUUAUCUUCAUAAGACACCACUAAGAUCAAUACCAUGGCAAGACAUAUUAAGGAUUGCAGCAGAAAUUGGCAAAGCUCUUGCUUACCUUCACUCGGGUGUUUCCGUCCCCGUAAUACACAGAGAUAUCAAGUCUACCAAUAUACUUCUUGAUGAUGCUUUGACAGCAAAGGUGUCUGACUUUGGAGCUUCAAGGCACAUUCCUAGGGAUCAAACAGGGAUAACAACAGCGGUGCAAGGAACUUUAGGGUAUUUAGAUCCUAUGUACUUUUACUGUGGCCGGCUAACAGAAAAAAGUGAUGUUUAUAGCUUUGGAGUAGUUCUUGUUGAGUUGCUUACGAGGAAGAUGCCAAUUACAUAUAGAUCGUCCAAAGGUGAUGGGCUUGUUGCACAGUUUAUUGAACUACUUUCAGGAGGUAAAUUGGAAGAAAUACUGGAUCCACAGGUCAUGGAGGGAGGUAGCCAAGUUGAGGAAGUAGCUGCUCUAGCUGUGUCGUGCACGAAACUGAGAGCGGAGGAGCGACCAACCAUGAGGUUAGUGGAGAUGACACUGGAGGCCCUUCAAGGACCCAAAGAGCGUAUUCGGGUUAGGGGUGAUCUGCUGGCAAAAACAAAUGAGGGGAGUUAUUCGGCAAUGAGAUAUACAUCAUCUAUAAGAAGGACAAGCUCGGAGAACGUGAGCAGACAAUAUAGUCAAGAAGAAGAAUAUCUGCUGUCCGGGAGCUACCCUCGAUAG